Molecule: ribosomal RNA, 492 nt
Filed under: uncultured bacterium
Lineage: Bacteria
Description: bacterial SSU rRNA
Rfam family: Bacterial small subunit ribosomal RNA
Source: RNAcentral
GAUCCUGGCUCAGAUUGAACGCUGGCGGAAUGCUUUACACAUGCAAGUCGAACGGUAGAGGGGGCAACCCCUUGAGAGUGGCGAACGGGUGAGUAAUAUAUCGGAACGUGCCCAGUCGUGGGGGAUAACGUAGCGAAAGUUACGCUAAUACCGCAUACGAUCUAAGGAUGAAANCGGGGGAUCGCAAGACCUCGCGCGAUUGGAGCGGCCGAUAUCAGAUUAGGUAGUUGGUGAGGUAAAGGCUCACCAAGCCAACGAUCUGUAGCUGGUCUGAGAGGACGACCAGCCACACUGGAACUGAGACACGGUCCAGACUCCUACGGGAGGCAGCAGUGGGGAAUUUUGGACAAUGGACGCAAGUCUGAUCCAGCCAUUCCGCGUGCAGGAUGAAGGCCCUCGGGUUGUAAACUGCUUUGUACGGAACGAAAAGGUUUCUAUUAAUACUAGGAGCUCAUGACGGUACCGUAAGAAUAAGCACCGGCUAACUACGUG